This 337-nucleotide long non-coding RNA is filed under the name Coturnix japonica (Japanese quail). RNAcentral describes it as "lncRNA (ENSCJPG00005001428.1)". The record is from RNAcentral. Lineage: Eukaryota; Metazoa; Chordata; Aves; Galliformes; Phasianidae.
AACCCCGCUUUUCUUGUUUCCUCCUCUCUAACUUCGCUCUUCCUUGGUUUUGUCCGCUCUAUACACACAGCUUUCCUUGGUUUUGUCCUACGCUCUAACCGCUUUUUUUCUUGCUUUUCCUCCACUGUAAAAACCGCUUUUCUUGUUUUCCUCGCUCUAACUUCGCUUUUCCUAGGUUUUCCUCCGCUCUAACCCCGCUUUUCUUGGUUUUCCUCCGCUCUAACUGCGCUUUUCCUUGGUUUCCUCCGCUCUAAGCUUCGCUUUCUUGUUUUUUCCCCUUUGCUCUAAUCACCGUUUCCCUUGUUUUCCACGCUCUAACACCACUUUUCUUGGUUUC